RNAcentral lists this ribosomal RNA (446 nucleotides) under uncultured bacterium. RNAcentral's name for it is "partial 16S ribosomal RNA". It matches the Rfam family "Bacterial small subunit ribosomal RNA", at positions 338 to 795 of the family's 1533-position model. The record is from RNAcentral.
CCUACGGGGGGCUGCAGUCGAGAAUCAUUCACAAUGGGGGAAACCCUGAUGGUGCGACGCCGCGUGGGGGAAUGAAGGUCUUCGGAUUGUAAACCCCUGUCAUGUGGGAGCAAAUUAAAAAGAUAGUACCACAAGAGGAAGAGACGGCUAACUCUGUGCCAGCAGCCGCGGUAAUACAGAGGUCUCAAGCGUUGUUCGGAAUCACUGGGCGUAAAGCGUGCGUAGGCUGUUUCGUAAGUCGUGUGUGAAAGGCGCGGGCUCAACCCGCGGACGGCACAUGAUACUGCGAGACUAGAGUAAGGGAGGGGGAACCGGAAUGCUCGGUGUAGCAGUGAAAUGCGUAGAUAUCGAGAGGAACACUCGUGGCGAAGGCGGGUUCCUGGACAUUAACUGACGCUGAGGCACGAAGGCCAGGGGAGCGAAAGGGAUUAGAUACCCCGGUAGUC